RNAcentral lists this ribosomal RNA (141 nucleotides) under uncultured bacterium. RNAcentral describes it as "partial 16S ribosomal RNA". It matches the Rfam family "Bacterial small subunit ribosomal RNA", at positions 338 to 472 of the family's 1533-position model. The record is from RNAcentral.
CCUACGGGAGGCAGCAGUGGGGAAUCUUGCGCAAUGGGCGAAAGCCUGACGCAGCAACGCCGCGUGGGGGAAGAAGGCCUUCGGGUUGUAAACCUCUUUCAGUAGGGACGAAGCUUCCGGGGUUAAUAGCCUACGGGGUGA